Bombyx mori (domestic silkworm) is the source of this 3619-nucleotide long non-coding RNA. RefSeq lists it as uncharacterized. The record is from RefSeq and is a predicted model, not a curated record. NCBI's taxonomy places the organism in Eukaryota, Metazoa, Arthropoda, Insecta, Lepidoptera, Bombycidae. The transcript has 2 exons.
AAAUGCUGCGUCCACUUUGAGAAUUAAGAUCGAUAUUUCGACUGUGGUGUAAUAGGACUGUAUCGUCCUUAAAAUGAUUGUGGCGGGUAGCCAUCAUACAACGCAAGAUAUUUGACAGAUGCCUGAAUCUCGCUUACGACAUUUUCAAGAUAAGCUUGCAUAUAUACAAGUUCCGAACAACAACAUUCGGACCGUCGGUCUACCGAGCAAAUAUCACCCGCUCGGUGGAAGAUCUUCCCUUUGUCGUAUACCAUAUGAUAUAACUUCGCAACGAGCUCCGGUGUUUUGAUCAAUGGACCAGUUAUUGUAGGCCCUUUUUUAUAGCUUAGAUGGGCGGAAGUGGCAUUGGAUUGGUCACAUAUUGAGAAAGUCCGAUACCCACCUAUGAAAGAGAGCACUGACAUGGAAAGUGUCUGGAAAAAGGAAGAAAGCCCGCCCCAGAACAACUUGGCGUCGCUCAGUGGAGCAGGAGCUAGGGGUCUUGGGCAUGACGUGGGAGGAGCUAAAAAAGACUGCCCUAGGCCGAUGUAAAGGGAAAAAUUUGAUUCGAGCCCUACACCCCAGCAGAGGGUAAUAGGAAAUAAUGAUGAUGAUAAUAUGGGUGAAAGAGCUCACAGCCCACCCGGUGUUUAGACAGAUACAAAGUAAAUGCGCCACCCACUUUGAAAUAUAAGUUCUAAGUUCUCAGUAUAGUUACAAUGGCUGCCCCACCCUUCAAACCGAAACGCAUUGCUACUUCACGGCAGAAAUAGGCACGGUAGGCACGGUACCUACUCUUGCAGACUCACAAGAGGUUCUACCACCAGUAAAACUCUGCAGAGCGCUUAACACAAAAAAUAAGUUUUGUCUGUUUUCGACCAAAAAAACAACUGCUACAGAAUAUUAACCACUAAGUUAUUCGACGUUAUUGCGUUGCUUAGAGAAUAUUUCACAGAUCAUAGAAUAAAGCACAUCUUCCAUAAAUGAGAAAAAUAAAAAAAUAAAACAUUUCGUAACUGUCUUUAGUAGCAAGCGAAAUCCUAGUAAUAGUAGUUUGUCGUCGUGGCCUAAAGGAUAAGACGUCCGGUGCAUUCGUAUCGAGCGAUGCACCGGUGUUCGAAUCUCGCUGGCGGGUACCAAUUUUUCUAAUGAAAUACGUACUCAACAAAUGUUCACGAUUGACUUCCAUGGUGAAGGAAUAACAUCGUGCAAUAAAAAUCAAACCCGCAAAAUUAUAAUUUGCGUAAUUACUGGUGGUAGGACCUCUUGUGAGUCCACACGGGUAGGUACCACCGCCCCGCCUAUUUCUGCCGUGAAGCAGUAAUGCGUUUCGGUUUGAAGGGUGGGGCAGCCGUUGUGACUAUACUGAGACCUUAGAACUAUAUCUCAAGGUGUGUGGCGUAUUUACGUUAUAGAUGUCCAUGGGCUCCAGUAACCACUUAACACCAGGUGGGCUGUGAGCUCGUCCACACAUCACAGCAAUAAAAUAAAUAAAAAAAUAGUAAACACUUGAUUGAAUUAAUUAAAUUCAAACUUGUAUAAUAGUUUUCGGUUCAAUAUUGCGUUCUUUUUUUUAUUUCGUGCCAUAAUGUCCGAUGUUUUCAAAGACAUUGUAUACAGUUAUAAUUUUGUAAUUUUCGUUAACGGAAAAAAAUUCGUGAUAAUAUUGGGACUAGCGAAUCAAUAUUGAAAUUCUAUGAUCUGCCGUGCGAUUCUGUAAGCGUUGUUUAACAAACUCGCACGUGAAUUUGGUGUGAGUUUUCAAAUUGGCAUUCUGUAAAUUUCAUUGUAGUGCCGAAUCUACACUAGCGCCCCUCGCGGGUGAAUUGAACUAGCAAGCGUGAGUUUUUUUUACUAAAAUGUAUGAGUUGACGUUUGAAACGGCAUUCUGUAGUGUAAAUCACGUCGAAUUUCGGCAAGAACUUCGCAUCGCAAAAUCAUUUUAUUUGUCAAAUCAAAAGUUAGUGUUUUAAGUGUUUGUUGUGAGUGAGAAUAUACGAAAACGUUAUAAACCGCUGUUAAUUAUUAAAAAAAUACUAUUAAUUAACAAAAUUGCACUUUAAAAUAACAUUAUUCUUCAUCGAUAUUUUAUGGAGCGUAUGUUUUUAUUGAAAACAUUGUUGAAAGAAGCUGACGCUACGGAUCAGCGUGAAAUGCGUCGACAAGCCUACGAAAUUCACAAUUUAUCACUUAACUUGAGAUGACGACUAUGUAAAAGUAUAAAGAAAGUGUAUAGAUUGUCGAAGGAUCAUAUUAUGAACCAGUUAGGGUGUGAAUUACACCCUUUGACGAAGACCACUAAAAGCCAUUGAAAAGGACUUUCAACUCUUUUAAAGUUUCAGUUAUUGUGCACCUUGUUUAUUUGGGCAAAUGAAGUUACCAAAAAAAUAAUAAAAGAAAAUAUAAGAACAUAUUUGUCCCAGAUAUCCCAGUGUAUAUCUGAGGUUGUGAAGGCUCUGAACAACCCAGCAACUAUAUAUAAAUAUUUAAGAUUCCCGCAGAAUGCUCAAGAAUGGCAAAAGUUGAAGGAAAACUGAAGAAAAAAGAAGAAGGUGGUUUAAACUAAAUAAAUAUUUCUUUUCUUCAUAAAAAAGUACCAAUAUUAAUCUAAUGCUAAAUAUUGCAGUUUUUGUAAAAAAAAAAAAAUCACUUUGGUUGUUGGGUGUAUUGAUGGGACGUUGGUGGCCUUAAAAAGACCUGCUACCAAUAAAAAAUGGUUUUACUGUCACAAAGGCUAUCAUGCCAGAAAAUGUACAGUUUGUAAAGCCAUUAAUAUUUUUCGAAAUUCUGAUGAUAUGUAAUCCAUAAACGAAAUGUGUAUUAUGAACUAUGUAUUCAGAUUGUAUUCAUUUCAGUUAAAUUGAAUUGUGUAUAUUGCUUUAAAGUUAUUGUGAAAUUUAGUAUUUAUAUUAAAUAAACUUUAUUCAGUUAUAAUCAAAACAAAAUAAAAUCUAAAGAUUAGUCAACUACAGCAAGUAAUGACCAUUAUAAUUAUUUAACAUCUUUUCGGUCUUUCUGUAUAUGCUCAACGUUCCAACCUUAUGACACCUUUUGCUAAAUUUUUUUUCAUUUCACCAUCUAAAUGGGUGGACGAGCUCACAGCCCACCUGGUGUUAAGUGGUUACUGGAGCCCAUAGACAUCUACAACGUAAAUGCGCCACCAACCUUGAGAUAUAAAUUCGAAGGUCUCAGUAUAGUUACAACGGCUGCGCCACCCUUCAAGCCGAAACGCAUUAAUGCUUCAGAAAUAGGCGAUAAUGCUAUGCUAGCUAAUACCUGCUAAUAAUAGCUAGCUAAUGCUAAUACGGAGAGAGAUACUCCUGAAGCUUUGUAGCACCACCUUCAUUCCACUGCCCGUAACUCAGUGAAAAGAACAAUAGGUCUGUUAAAGAGUAGAUUCAGGUGUUUGCUGAUCCAUAGGGUGCCAAUUUAUCACCCUGAUAAGGUAGCAAAAAUAGCUGUUGCGUGUUGUGUUUUACACAACAUUUGCAAUUGUGCAGAGCUGCCAGUUCCCAUAAUCUCAGAUUAUGAGAUUACAUUUACAUUAUGGUGGUCAUCUUGAAUUACUUAGUUAAAUUCUACUAAUUAGCUUACUUAUAGUGUGAAGUAACUUCAAAUAUAAAUUAAUGAUUUAUAAAAA